This 464-nucleotide ribosomal RNA is filed under the name uncultured Terriglobales bacterium. Its description in RNAcentral is "bacterial SSU rRNA". It matches the Rfam family "Bacterial small subunit ribosomal RNA", at positions 338 to 795 of the family's 1533-position model. Lineage: Bacteria; Pseudomonadati; Acidobacteriota; Terriglobia; Terriglobales. The record is from RNAcentral.
CCUACGGGUGGCAGCAGUGGGGAAUUGUUCGCAAUGGGCGCAAGCCUGACGACGCAACGCCGCGUGGAGGAUGAAGGUCUUCGGAUUGUAAACUCCUGUUGCCCGGGACGAAUAGCUCCAACCUAAUACGUUGGAGUAUGACGGUACCGGGUGAGGAAGCCCCGGCUAACUCUGUGCCAGCAGCCGCGGUAAUACAGAGGGGGCAAGCGUUGUUCGGAAUUACUGGGCGUAAAGGGCGCGUAGGCGGCCUGUUAAGUCGAACGUGAAAUCCCCGGGCUCAACCCGGGAACUGCGUCCGAUACUGGCAGGCUUGAAUCCGGGAGAGGGAUGCGGAAUUCCAGGUGUAGCGGUGAAAUGCGUAGAUAUCUGGAGGAACACCGGUGGCGAAGGCGGCAUCCUGGACCGGCAUUGACGCUGAGGCGCGAAAGCUAGGGGAGCAAACGGGAUUAGAUACCCCAGUAGUC